CGUUGCUACAAUGCGUGCCGUCCGAUCUAGUAGCAAUGGGGCGCAGUCUGUGUGCCGUUGCGUUCGCGUUGGCGAUAUCGAAAUGUAAAUAGCUUCCAGUAUUUAUUUCAAGGUACUCCUCCGCUGCAGGGCCGGGCGGCUGGGCAAAGUUACACACAGCCGUGCCAAAACAAACGCUGCGCUUGUGGAGACACUGUGUCAUCUGUGGUGUGGUAAAGUGUGUGCUGUUUGUAAGCCAUCCUUGAUGUCGAGAAGCACCGAUGAAGCAUGUUGGUGGCAAUGGUUUUCGGUGAUAUUUUUGGAAAUCACUUCAGGACCUUGUUUUGUUGAUGAAAGGCUUCAGGCUGUCUGGCUCGAGAGGAUGCUGCCCAAAUUGCAUAACAAGGAACGUUCACACCGAGACGCUACCUUUUCCGACCGGCCGACCCGACCCGGUGGAUAGAAUGGUGUCCAAACCGCCCUUUUGGAGCUUUGGAGAAAUACCAAACGGCGAAUUUAAGCUUCGCAAUGGAAAGCGUUUCUCAUGCUCGUGGGAACGAAAGGGGUUUGCAAGAGGUCUACCGCCACCGUUCGGUGUGUGUGUAUGUGUGCGCUGGUACGAUGGAAAUUUUGGAAGGAUAAAAUUAGCACCGACGCUCGACGAAACCUCCUCACCUGGCCAAAAACUUUCGCCGCAAAGUUCGCAUGAAACUCAAUCGCAGUUGAAAUCGGACGCCGAUUGAAUAUUCGUGGCGGUAGUGAAAUUAGUGUGCACAAAUAAUUAAUGUACCGGCAAAGUGGCUUCGUCUGUGUAUAAUGAUAGUGAGUGUUGGUUUAAAGGAUGGCAACAUUUUGACGGAAGAGUGGAUUCGUCGAAAGUUGAAGACAUCGAAAGAGAGAGUGAUUCUAAUAAGCAGCAUCGAUGGACAAUUUUCCAGCCGACUGUUUUUUCCCCAAACCCCAACCACGCAUGUGUCUCUUGAGAAUGAAAGUUCCCGGUGGCCGUAAAAGAAAAAGCAGCAGGGAAAUUCAGCCCGCCUGACAAGAAAUUCAGUUGCCGCUUGAAAGUUCAUGAUCAUGUAAAACAAAUAUGGCACACGGGGGACACAUUUCACGAGCGACUUGCGCCACCAGCACACUUUACCGAAAAGCCAAAAAUCAAACUUUGUGUGUUCGUUUUGCUGGACCGGUCGGGAGGGUUGUUACUUGGUUACAACGCUACGUACGCAAAUCCACCCGAAAAAAAGACACUUGCUAAGGAUGAUACACACACACGCGCAGGAAGAAGGGAAGAGCCCGGCGGGAGUGGUGAGGAGAUAACUUUUUUAUGAGCAUCUUGAGCCCGAAGCAAAAGGCGAUAAAGUAGUCUCAGCGGCGGGUUGAAACGGUUUAAGACCGUACGCUUGCUCGAUGUGUCCGUGUGCCUCCUCCGUGUUAGUUUUGUGGAAAAAAGGACCCGUUCGGUGUCUUGCCGGGAAAGGACAUGUACCCCUGUGUGGGUGAUUCGAGAUUAUUUGCUUAGCACGGAGGAGAAAGUUUCGCUCGGUGCUCUAUUUCCAGUCUUCCAUUGAAGCCUUUUCCAUCUCGGCGUCCGGCGUUUUGCUCCUCGCCGCACACAGGAUGUGUGUCACACGCUUUAAAACUCCAUUCAUUUUGCGGAUCGUACGGUCCUUAUCCUUCCCGGAAACCGACGGUAAGGUGUUUUGCUGCGGUUCGACGUGUACGGCCGGACGCUUUCCGGCAGCGAGGAAAGCUUGCUUGGAGGAACAUUCUGGGCACAUUCCUACGGCGAGCUUGUAAAGUUAAACAAUUUUGAGAAAGUUGCAAGAUUGUGAAAAUUCCCAUUCGAAGCAUCGGUAGACAGUGUGCUGCUGCUGCUGCUGCUGCUGCCCGUUCGUUAUAUCCUACGUGCUGGUGGGCACGUGAAUGGAACGGACACUGUGGAAUGACCGAGCAGAAAAUGGGGGGGAAAAAUCCGUAACAACCUACGGGUUUACAGGAGUUUGAGGCAAUUUUGUCAGCGAAACAUUCUUCCGCUAAGCUUCCCCAUGGCUGAGCGUGUAGGACCGGGAUGGGAAUGAACUGCUUCACGAGCCAAAGAAAGAAAGGAAAGGAAGGAAUCAACAUUCCUUUGGCUACUGUUACUACCGGGAACAAUUAGCAAAGGGUUGAGGGAACGAGUUGCAAUUUAAUAUUAAACAUUUUAUGAAUGGAAGGUUGCCUAAAAAGGAGAAAAUUAUGGUUUAUAUUUUGAUUAAAGACUCAAAUAUUAGGGUUUUAAAUCACAUGCUUAUUUGAUA
This is a long non-coding RNA of Anopheles merus, 2279 nucleotides long. RefSeq lists it as uncharacterized. The transcript has 4 exons. The record is from RefSeq and is a predicted model, not a curated record. Lineage: Eukaryota; Metazoa; Arthropoda; Insecta; Diptera; Culicidae.